Molecule: ribosomal RNA, 251 nt
Filed under: uncultured Actinomycetes bacterium
Lineage: Bacteria; Bacillati; Actinomycetota; Actinomycetes
Description: uncultured actinobacterium partial 16S ribosomal RNA
Rfam family: Bacterial small subunit ribosomal RNA
Source: RNAcentral
UACGUAGGGGGCGAGCGUUGUCCGGAUUUAUUGGGCGUAAAGAGCUCGUAGGCUUGGCAAGUCGGGUGUGAAACCUCCAGGCUCAACCUGGAGACGCCACUCGAUACUGCUAUGGCUAGAGUCCGGUAGGGGACCACGGAAUUCCUGGUGUAGCGGUGAAAUGCGCAGAUAUCAGGAGGAACACCGGUGGCGAAGGCGGUGGUCUGGGCCGGCACUGACGCUGAGGAGCGAAAGCGUGGGUAGCAAACAGG